GAUGAAGAACGUAGCGAAAUGCGAUAAGUAAUGUGAAUUGCAGAAUUCAGUGAAUCAUCGAAUCUUUGAACGCACCUUGCACCCUUUGGCAUUCCGAAGGGUAUGCUCGUUUGAGUGUCAUUGUACUCUCACACUCUCCGAUCCUAUGGAUCGGGGAGCGGUGGACUUGGGUGUUGCUGCCUUUCCUUGUGGCUCACCUCAAAUGUGUCAGUGCACCUCUUGGUUGGACAUAGUACGGCGUGAUAAGUGUCUUCGCCGGCACCUCGCAAGAGGGUGGCCGAUCGGGAGCUCUGUGCUUUCAAACCGUCUUCGGACAAUUUCUGACAACUUGACCUCAAAUCGAGUAGGACUACCCGCUGAACUUAAGCAUAUCAAUAAGCGGAGGA
This 386-nucleotide unclassified non-coding RNA is filed under the name soil metagenome. RNAcentral's name for it is "partial contains 5.8S ribosomal RNA, internal transcribed spacer 2, and large subunit ribosomal RNA". The stretch from base 1 to 120 matches the Rfam family "5.8S ribosomal RNA", at positions 35 to 154 of the family's 154-position model. The record is from RNAcentral.